RNAcentral lists this long non-coding RNA (2258 nucleotides) under Oncorhynchus kisutch (coho salmon). RNAcentral describes it as "lncRNA (ENSOKIG00005023826.1)". The record is from RNAcentral. Lineage: Eukaryota; Metazoa; Chordata; Actinopteri; Salmoniformes; Salmonidae.
UCCAGCACACCAGCUGAAUGAAAUCAAGCGCACCUAAUCUCAAUUGGGAAAUUGGACCAAUAGAAAUUAUGUUCAGUGGCUUGCAGGUGUACCUAAUUAACCAGCCAAAUUAGAAGGGUCUAGGAUUCCUUUGUAAGGCGCAGCAAAAAAGACAAUCAGAUACAAUAUCAGGGAUCUCCUGGUAAGGCUUCUGGCUACCAUUAGUUCUGACUACUGAGGUUUUGAUGAGAAAAAUGGCUGUGAGUUUUGAAAUGUCUUUGAGAAUUUCUUGGAUUUGUUGCCUGCUAAUUGGAGGGAUAACCUGUUAUCCUCCACCUAAAGGUAAUUAUAGAUAUAUUCCCCAAAAUCAAGUAAAAGGAACUGGCCACAAUGCAGCGGAAGCUACUGGCUCCCGUGCCUCGACAGGUGAAGCUACCGGCUCCCGUGCCUCAGCAGGUGAAGCAGCCACCCAUAAUGCCUCUGCAAGCGUCACGACUGGCCCAAAUACCUUAGCUGAAGCAACUGGCCACAAUGCUUCAUCAAGCGCCACGACAGUCCCAAAUGCCUUAGGUGAAGCAGCUGGCCACAGUGCCGCGCAAGCGAUCACCCAUAAUGCCUCGGCAAGUAUGGCAACUGGCCCAAAUACCUUAGGUGAAGCAACUGGCCACGGUGCCUCGGCAGCGGAAGCAACUGGACACAGUGCCAUGCAAACGGCCACUCAUAAUGCCUCAGAAGCGGCCAACCACAAUGCCUCUGCAAGCGUCACGACUGGGCCAAAUACCUUGGGUGAAGGAGCCGACUCCCGUGCCUCAGCAGAAGCAGCAACCCAUAAUAUCUCAGCAAGCGUCACGACUGGCCCAAAUACCUUAGCUGAAGCAACUGGCCACAAUGCUUCAUCAAGCGCCACGACUGGCCCAAGUGCCUCAGGUGAAGUAACUGGCCACAGUGCCUCUGCAGAGGAAGCAACUGGCCACAGUGCCACGCAAGCGGCCACCCAUAAUGCCUCUAAGUGUGGCAGCUGGCCCAAAUACCUUAGGUGAAGCAUCUGGCCACAGUGCUUCAUCAAGCACCACGACUGGCCUAAAUACCUUCGGUGAAACAACCGGCCACUUUGCCUCGGCAGAGGAAGCAACCGGCCACGGUACCUCAAGUGCGGAAUCUGGUUCAAAUGCCUCGGCAGAAGCGACAGGCGCCCUUGCCUCGGCAGAAGCGACAGGCGCCCUUGCCUCGGCAGAAGCGACAGGCGCCCUUGCCUCGGCAGAAGCGACAGGCCUUGAACAGGAGGGCCAACUCCUCAAGCAACAUGGAUAUUAGCAGCAGUGAUGUUUCUCAGGAUUUUGGGUAUGAGGGUGACAAUGAAAGCACCCAAUGUGUCAUCUCCAGCAGCGUUCAAAGCAGCAUCGUUGAACAGUCAAUUCUCGUACUAACAUAGUUACAAAUCGGUGUAUGAGAAGGGCAAUACUGUCUACUCCCAAACCUGCCACACCACUGGGUAGGUUAUGCAAACGUCACUACAGUCCGAGAGAUAUCUCUGAACCAAGCAUAUCCCCACCUGCUACGACUACUGGGAUGCAAUGUAAUGUGCAACUUCUACACUCACCUGCACUUUGCGUUCUGAUUUUGAAAUCCGUUGUACUCAUCGUCUAUCAACAGAAUUGCAAUGGUAGAUUCAUCCUUUGGAUGACAAUUCUGAGUUGUUGCUGACACUUUCUUUAAGCUUCCACUGUAUGCUUAUGCGUCGGCCAGGGAGUUGCUGCUGCUCGUUCUACCCUGCAUUACUUGUAAAACAAUAAAAUAUUGUACCUUUUUUAAAAGUGCCUCCUUGUGUUUUGAAAUAGUGUGUUUUAAUGUCUACCUUUGGCUUGCUGGUUGAGAACAGUGUUGGUUGCCAGUGCAAUUUGUAGUAAUUGGGAAUGUGGUUCACAGUUCCUUAUCUUUUGGAUAUCAAAUCUAUAAUUUAUCUUUGCUGCUGGUUGACAAACCCCAAGAUUGUCUCUACGUUAAAGCCACUGACCACGUUUACAUGUACAUCAAUAUCCCGUUAUUCGGGAUCCUGAAGUAUUUAUUUUGUGUUGCCAUGUAAACAUCAAAUCCUGUUUUACAAAAACCUGAGAAAGCUUGUACCCCGGAGAUGGGCUACUGUGGCAUAUAAACCUCUUCUGUUUUUGUGGUAUGCGCAGGCUCCGUUUCGCCUCUUGUGGUUGUCUGACUCUGUCAAACAAAUCAAUUUAAAGUGGGCUACCUGUCCAGUUUGAUCCACCAUAACUGAGCUUAAUGGC